This 426-nucleotide ribosomal RNA is filed under the name uncultured bacterium. Its description in RNAcentral is "bacterial SSU rRNA". It matches the Rfam family "Bacterial small subunit ribosomal RNA", at positions 354 to 796 of the family's 1533-position model. The record is from RNAcentral.
GUAGGGAAUAUUGCACAAUGGGCGAAAGCCUGAUGCAGCAACGCCGCGUGCGCGAUGAAGGCCUUCGGGUCGUAAAGCGCUUUUCGGGGAGAUGAGGAAGGACAGUAUCCCCGGAAUAAGGAUCGGCUAACUACGUGCCAGCAGCCGCGGUAAAACGUAGGAUCCGAGCGUUAUCCGAAUUCACUGGGCGUAAAGCGCGUGCAGGCGGUCCGGUAAGUUGGAUGUGAAAUCUCCUGGCUCAACUGGGAGAGGACGUUCAAUACUGUCGGACUCGAGGACGGUAGAGGGAGGUAGAAUUCCCGGUGUAGUGGUGAAAUGCGUAGAUAUCGGGAGGAAUACCAGUGGCGAAGGCGGCCUCCUGGACCGUUCCUGACGCUCAGACGCGAAAGCUAGGGGAGCAAACGGGAUUAGAAACCCGAGUAGUCC